AAUGAUUGUACAUCACAAGAUCACGACCGGGAUUGUACCUUGAUCUUGAUGACUUCUAGCUCCAGAACUCCAACGUGAUCUUCCUCACAGGGUGAUCACACCGACAGAGGUUCGCCUACGCUAGCCUCCAACAACUGCACAGCCCUCAGCUCUCCAGAGAGGUGUCCCUAAAGCUCCUUCUGCUUCUCUGCUGCUUCACGUCGAGUACAUCGUCUUGGAUCUGGGGCUCGGUGGAUUUUUCGGGGUAUUUAUAGUCCAGAGAGCGUGUGAUAAAAAUUGGAAGGCGAGGGAGGAAAGGAAACCCCCCGAGGCGAUCAGCCUGGGAUGGUCCAAGCCGAUCGGCCUGGGCCUUUCUUUUGGCCCCUCGCGUCCUGCUUCAUCUCCAAGUCUCCCUUGGUGCUUUGAAGUCCUAUUUUCACUUGCAUGUGGGCCUGACACGUCGGUUGCUUCGGGAUGAGAUUGAUCUUCAAUGACUUUCCAAAUAUCCGCUUGAUCUUCUUUGAUUCCUCUUUGAUCCCAAAGUGAUCCUUGCCAUAUCUUCACAAACUUAGCCCUUAAGUCAUCUCGGAGGAUUGCUUGCCAAAGAUGGACGUCGGAAGGCUCCAGAAGACCCUAGGCCGAUCGACCUGGGCUCCUCUAGGCCCAUCGGCCUAGGCCCUUCCUGGGCCCGUUGGCCUCCAUCUUCAUCUGGUUCAAUGUUCGUUCAGUGCUUUAUCCAAAAAUAUACUUUUAGGUUCAAUUCCCUGCAAAAACAGAACAUCCUCCAAAAUUUGUUGCAUAUGUGAAAAUGACCGGUUUAUUAGGUAUAAUUAAUAUCUUGGGUAUUAAAUUCAUGUCAUUAUUGAAGAUAAACAUGGAUAAAAGUGUGUCAAUAGUGAGCAUCAACAGCCCACGCCCGGACAUCCUUCAUCACCUGCUCCUCCGCGUCGCUCUGCCGUGCUGCCCCUUUCCGUCACUGCCUCACGGGCUAGCCUCACCGCCACCUCGCACCGACCGCCUGGCCGCCUGCCCACACUCGGACCCCUGCCGUCACCUGCUCCUCCGCGUCACUCCGCCGUGCGGUCCCCUCUUUGGCGCCACCGCACGGGCUAGCCUUGCCACCACCGCGCAUUGGCCGCGUGGUCGCCUCUCUACGCCACCACAUGGGCUGCCCAUGCUGCCCCCGCUUAGCUCCACCACAACGCCCAGCCGCGCGGUGCCUGCUCCGCCCCACCGUGCAGGUCGCCCGCGUGGCCUCCUCUCCGCAGCGCCACCGAGAUCUGCUAGGGGAGCUUGAACCCCAUGGGGACUCACCACGUGGGAGCAGGCAUGGGUGAGGGAGCACUGCCGUCUGUGCUUGGGAGAGAGAUAGAAAGGGUCAGGGGGAGAGGAGUGUUGGGAUCACUGCGCGAAUAAGAAGGUGGGAGGUGGAGUUGGAGCUUGGCACCCAGUGCCGUGGGAGGCGGCGAUGGAGGGAAGGGGGCAGACAGGCCGGGGAAGGAGAGGAGAGGCGGAAGAUAGGAUAAGGAGAGAUAAAAGAAAAAAAUAGUCAUUGACAUGUGGGCUCCACGUGUCAGAGGUAAGUAGGGGCCCAAAAGUAGAGAUCCUUGUUGGAGUUGAGCUAAAAAUAUCAAGACCCGUAAAAUUAGGAUAGCCCCUACUCAAUAAAUUAGGGGCCAAGAGUAGAGUUACUCUAAGAGCAACUCCAGCAAGGCCCCUACUUGAUCCUCUACUCAAAAAGUAGGGACUGAGAGCCAAAAAUCCAACUCCAACAGAGCCUCUACUUGGAUCCCUACCCUAGGGAGGUUCCUACUUUUCCCUUCCAAGCCCCUUCUCCUGCGGGUGUGUAGGGAGGCCCCUACUCGGCCAGUUCUUCUGUUUCACCUCCCGCGAACGUCUGUCCAUUCUGCGCGCGCCAUUCUCGUGCGUCGCCACGACCCCUUCGGUGGCGGCAUCGCUCCUCCGCCUCAACUCCUACACACGUAGCAGCACCCCUCCGCCACACCAUGCCAGGCAACGGCAAUCGAGCCCGAGCUCGAUUUGUUUCCGACAAAUCGAGCGGCAAAUCCGGUCCGACGUAAAUUGAAUUGAGGAGCGAGGAGAAGGCAUACCAUGCAGAUGACGUUGGGACUCGCACGGUGGCCGCCGAGGUCGCAGGGCUAGAGCUCCAUUUGACAUCGCUCAAGCAUCGAUUUUGAUGAGUCUACGCUGCUUGAAGCCUAUGCAAGGCCGACGCUACUUGGAUCUGCUGCCUUCUGCUGUCCCGAGUAGCAGGGAUGGUUAGGCUUGAGCUCCUCUGCUGAGUCUGUACUUUGCGGGGCCAUGCGAGGCUAGAGGUCUUCCACGAGAGUGAGUUCUUCCGUCGGAUAUGAACGAAUCCACCAAGCGAGAUGCAAACACAAGGAGCAAGAACAUAUGGGUAGGAAAGAGAUAAGGAUAAGAAAAAAUAAUAAAAGGAAAAGAAAUGUAGAAACCGAUAGGUGAGGCACAUCUAUCAUAAUAAAAGUAGGGACUUCGAUUAGGGUUAUUGGAAUCGAGCCUAAAAAUUAUGCCCUAGAAAGUAGGAGGAGCCCCUAGUUAGGACCCGUUUUGUUCUUUAGUCCCUCCUAAAACUCCUGUCACAUCGAAUGUUUAGAUACUACACUAAUUACAAAAUCAAUUGCACAGAUGGAUGCUAAUUUGCGAGACGAAUCUAUUAAGCCUAAUUAGUCCAUGAUUUGAUAAUGUGAUGCUACAAUAAACAUGUGCUAAUGAUGGAUUAAUUAGGUUUAGUAGAUUCGUCUCGUUGGCUAUUUGUGUUUAUGUACAACUUAGCCGCUAUAGCCCGCUACAGUCUCGUUUAACUCCGCUAUAGCUAUUUUAGUUAGCUGGAGAUUUAAAACCUUGCUAGGGGGACGGUUUCCAGAGCAGCAAAGAGCCGGUCUACGCGCACCUGAUCGAGGAGGGCCGCCGUUACCGCGCCGCCGACGGCUUCUUGGUGAACACCUUCAGCGAGAUCGAGCCCGGAUACGUGGAGGGGUUGACGAAGAAGGCGGCGGAGCAAGGCACGUUCCCG
Molecule: long non-coding RNA, 3034 nt
Filed under: Setaria viridis
Lineage: Eukaryota; Viridiplantae; Streptophyta; Magnoliopsida; Poales; Poaceae
Description: long non-coding RNA (SVIR_LNC000037)
Source: RNAcentral